UGGGGAAUCUUGCGCAAUGGGCGAAAGCCUGACGCAGCAACGCCGCGUGCGGGAAGAAGGCUCUCGGGUUGUAAACCGCUUUCAGCAGGAACGAAAAUGACGGUACUUGCAGAAGAAGGUGCGGCCAACUACGUGCCAGCAGCCGCGGUGAUACGUAGGCACCAAGCGUUGUCCGGAUUUAUUGGGCGUAAAGAGCUCGUAGGCGGUUCGGUAAGUCAGGUGUGAAAACUUUGGGCUUAACCCAAAGCCUGCAUCUGAUACUGCCGUGACUAGAGUUCGGUAGGGGAGCGGGGAAUUCCUAGUGUAGCGGUGAAAUGCGCAGAUAUUAGGAGGAACACCGGUGGCGAAGGCGCCGCUCUGGGCCGAAACUGACGCUGAGGAGCGAAAGCGUGGGUAGCAA
RNAcentral lists this ribosomal RNA (400 nucleotides) under uncultured bacterium. Its description in RNAcentral is "bacterial SSU rRNA". It matches the Rfam family "Bacterial small subunit ribosomal RNA", at positions 355 to 771 of the family's 1533-position model. The record is from RNAcentral.